GACGAACGCUGGCGGCGUGCUUAACACAUGCAAGUCGAACGAUGAAGCCUAGCUUGCUAGGUGGAUUAGUGGCGAACGGGUGAGUAAUACGUGAGUAACCUACCUUUAACUCUGGGAUAAGCCUGGGAAACUGGGUCUAAUACCGGAUACGACCAAUCUCCGCAUGGGGUGUUGGUGGAAAGCGUUAUGUAGUGGUUAUAGAUGGGCUCACGGCCUAUCAGCUUGUUGGUGAGGUAACGGCUCACCAAGGCGACGACGGGUAGCCGGCCUGAGAGGGUGACCGGCCACACUGGGACUGAGACACGGCCCAGACUCCUACGGGAGGCAGCAGUGGGGAAUAUUGCACAAUGGGCGCAAGCCUGAUGCAGCGACUCCGCGUGAGGGAUGACGGCCUUCGGGUUGUAAACCUCUGUUAGCAGGGAAGAAGAGAAAUUGACGGUACCUGCAGAGAAAGCGCCGGCUAACUACGUGUCAGCAGCCGCGGUUAAUACGUAGGGCGCGAGCGUUGUCCGGAAUUAUUGGGCGUUAAGAGCUUGUAGGCGGUUUGUCGCGUCUGCUGUGAAAGGCCGGGGCUUAACCCCGUGUAUUGCAGUGGGUACGGGCAGACUAGAGUGCAGUAGGGGAGACUGGAAUUCCUGGUGUAGCGGUGGAAUGCGCAGAUAUCAGGAGGAACACCGAUGGCGAAGGCAGGUCUCUGGGCUGUAACUGACGCUGAGAAGCGAAAGCAUGGGGAGCGAACAGGAUUAGAUACCCUGGUAGUCCAUGCCGUAAACGUUGGGCACUAGGUGUGGGGGACAUUCCACGUUUUCCGCGCCGUAGCUAACGCAUUAAGUGCCCCGCCUGGGGAGUACGGCCGCAAGGCUAAAACUCAAAGAAAUUGACGGGGGCCCGCACAAGCGGCGGAGCAUGCGGAUUAAUUCGAUGCAACGCGAAGAACCUUACCAAGGCUUGACAUAUACUGGACCGCAUCAGAGAUGGUGUUUCCCUUCGGGGCUGGUAUACAGGUGGUGCAUGGUUGUCGUCAGCUCGUGUCGUGAGAUGUUGGGUUAAGUCCCGCAACGAGCGCAACCCUCGUUCUAUGUUGCCAGCACGUUAUGGUGGGGACUCAUAGGAGACUGCCGGGGUCAACUCGGAGGAAGGUGGGGAUGACGUCAAAUCAUCAUGCCCCUUAUGUCUUGGGCUUCACGCAUGCUACAAUGGCCGGUACAGAGGGUUGCGAUACUGUGAGGUGGAGCUAAUCCCUAAAAACCGGUCUCAGUUCGGAUUUGGGGUCUGCAACUCGACCCCACGAAGUCGGAGUCGCUAGUAAUCGCAGAUCAGCAACGAUGCGGCGAAUAAGUUCCCGGGCGU
RNAcentral lists this ribosomal RNA (1350 nucleotides) under uncultured bacterium. RNAcentral describes it as "bacterial SSU rRNA". It matches the Rfam family "Bacterial small subunit ribosomal RNA", at positions 28 to 1381 of the family's 1533-position model. The record is from RNAcentral.